This 101-nucleotide small nuclear RNA is filed under the name Carassius auratus (goldfish). Its description in RNAcentral is "U1 spliceosomal RNA (ENSCARG00000016989.1)". It matches the Rfam family "U1 spliceosomal RNA", at positions 15 to 120 of the family's 166-position model. From Rfam's summary of the family: U1 is a small nuclear RNA (snRNA) component of the spliceosome (involved in pre-mRNA splicing). The record is from RNAcentral. Lineage: Eukaryota; Metazoa; Chordata; Actinopteri; Cypriniformes; Cyprinidae.
GUAGUACUUACCAUGAUCAAGAAGGCGGUUCACCCAGGGCUUGUCCAUUGCACUCUGGCCAUACUGACCCCUGUGAAUUCCCCAAAUGUGAGAAUCUCGAC